Micropterus salmoides (largemouth bass) is the source of this 1374-nucleotide long non-coding RNA. RefSeq lists it as uncharacterized. The record is from RefSeq and is a predicted model, not a curated record. The transcript has 3 exons. Lineage: Eukaryota; Metazoa; Chordata; Actinopteri; Centrarchiformes; Centrarchidae.
CAUUUCUUCAUUCAUUUAGUACAGUAUCAUUAAACGUGCCUGUUCUUUUAAGCCUGUUGUACAAUAAUUAUUAUCAUAAUUAAUGUUAAUUCUUAAUUAUUUUAAUAAUAAAUAAUUCUGUUUGAGACUUAAUUGAAUUGUUAAGAAUUUCCAGUAAUUUACUUUUCGUUCAUUCUCAUAAAUGAUACAGGAUAAUAUUCUGUAUGUUUAUUGUGCAAAAUAUGACAUGGACACACAUGGACCACUAACACAUUAAAGCAACAUUAUGUAUGUGGUUUCUGGGUGAUUUGGCAUACCCACCGUAUCAGUGUACCACUGUCGUAAAUAAGGACAGCUGUACACACGCAUUUUUUUUUUCCAUUAUCAAAAACGUUAAUGUUACGUCCACUGAGGCUGCCCAGCUCCGACUCGACUCAGCAACCGACGCAAAACCACUUACAGUAAUGUUACCGAUGUGUGUUUUCUAGUGAUUUCGCUAACAUCAACUUGAGAUUAUUAGCCUCAGCCACAACAGGUGGAGAGGUGUUGAGCCAGAGCCGGGGCCGGUCAUUCGGGCAAACAUAACAGGGCUCAGCAGCCUCUACAUUUAACUAAUGUCAGAGGCGAGAGGAACCAAGAUGUUGAUGGAGAAAGCUAAGAUGUGAAAGAGAGUGACCAAGAAAAGACCAGGGGCCCGUUCUUCGUAUGUUGCUUAAAACAUCCGAGAUGAAAUGAGACAUCCAAGAUAAUAUCAUCGGCCUAAUUAUGAUCUGGCUAAUUGGGUUCUUCGAACACACCUGCCGGUUAUGAUUAGUACAGCUAGAUUGAGUUAUCGGAGAUAAUUGCGCGUUCAUGCACUGGUUUAAAAGGGGAUUUGUAUCAAUAGUAGAAACAUUGAUCAGCAACUUUCUACUUCUACUGUUUAGUCUCUUUUACCAAAAUAAAUGUUAAAUUAUGUGUUUGUCUGUUUAUAACAGCAACCAAGAAAAAGGCAGAGCAGAAAAAAACAGGUGGUGGUCCUGCACCCCCACAUUAUACCUUGGCAGAAGAGCUGGCCCUUGGUUUAAAUGUGAACCGACCCAUUGUGAAGGGCAUCCCUGGGGGCAGCUCUUCCUUAGACCAAAAGCCAGGGACCAGUUGCAACACCUUCAUUACUGGACAGUGAAGAAACCCUCUCAGAUGACUGUCCUUUUGGAGGAAGUACUUGUAAGUGCAUAAAUAACAGCUUAAUUUAUAGUUGUGUACAUAUAAUUUCUGACUGCAAUAUGAGUUGCAGGAGGAAAGGCCAGACAGGCCUACAGACAGGCCUACAGCACAAAGUGAUACAGAGGCAAAAGAUGACCAUCACUGGCUUUUCUUGACAAAGAAUAAUUGAAAUAAAAAUCAAGGAACUAA